UGCUGAGUCCCAAAGGUUGGGCCCACGGCCGGCAAUCCUUGCACAGCUUCGAAGGAACAAUAUUUGGACUUAAAUUCGGCAACUUAAGCGGCCACAAAGCAAUGCAAGCCAGCCAGCGAGCACGCCACGUUGCAGUGCUGAACCAGCUGCUUCAUUUCAAAAGACAAGGAAACAAAAACUAAAAUCUCCAAUGGAUAAAUUUGCAGUUUGAUCAAAUGCUUUGCGCCCUCAACAACUCUCGUCCAUGUAAUUGAAAUUUGUGCAGACCUUAGCUGGCUGUAGCCCUUUGCGUUUGGAUACUCAACACUCAACAUUGAAUCGCCCACCCCGGACCCAUUGGAUGAACCCACCACCCAUCACCAAAAACUGUUUCGAAACUUGAACAAAAUUUUUGCAAUUUGUGAUUAAGUUUAGGUGUAACCAAUAAAUAAAAAACAAAAACAACAAUAGGCUACCAAA
Molecule: long non-coding RNA, 459 nt
Organism: Drosophila busckii
Lineage: Eukaryota; Metazoa; Arthropoda; Insecta; Diptera; Drosophilidae
Exons: 2
Source: RefSeq, a predicted model, not a curated record